RNAcentral lists this ribosomal RNA (254 nucleotides) under uncultured bacterium. RNAcentral describes it as "partial 16S ribosomal RNA". It matches the Rfam family "Bacterial small subunit ribosomal RNA", at positions 524 to 776 of the family's 1533-position model. The record is from RNAcentral.
CACGUAGGGUGCAAGCGUUGUCCGGAUUCAUUGGGCGUAAAGGGCUAGUAGGCGGCUUAGCAAGUCGGGUGUGAAAUUUCCAGGCUUAACCUGGAACCGCCAUCCGAUACUGCUAUGGCUAGAGUCCGGUAGGGGACCACGGAAUACCUGGUGUAGCGGUGAAAUGCGCAGAUAUCAGGUGGAACACCGAUGGCGAAGGCAGUGGUCUGGGCCGGCACUGACGCUGAAUAGCGAAAGCGUGGGGAGCGAACAGG